Molecule: ribosomal RNA, 253 nt
Filed under: uncultured Alphaproteobacteria bacterium
Lineage: Bacteria; Pseudomonadati; Pseudomonadota; Alphaproteobacteria
Description: partial 16S ribosomal RNA
Rfam family: Bacterial small subunit ribosomal RNA
Source: RNAcentral
UACGGAGGGGGCUAGCGUUGUUCGGAAUGACUGGGCGUAAAGCGCGCGUAGGCGGAUCGGACAGUCAGAGGUGAAAGCCCGGGGCUCAACCCCGGAACGGCCUUUGAUACUUCCGGUCUUGAGUUCGAGAGAGGUGGGUGGAAUUCCGAGUGUAGAGGUGAAAUUCGUAGAUAUUCGGAGGAACACCAGUGGCGAAGGCGGCCCACUGGCUCGACACUGACGCUGAGGCGCGAAAGCGCGGGGAGCAAACAGG